AUGUGUGUUCCAAAAAAUUAAGGAGAUAUGGGUUUUCAGGAUUUACAUUGUUUCAACCUUACACUGUUGGCUAAACAAGCAUGGCGUCUUCUUGACAAUCAUAAUUCUUUAUGUCCCACUAUCUUGAGAGUUAAGUAUUUUCCUCAUGGCAACAUGAUGAAUGCAACAUUAAAAAAGAGGUCCUUUUUUACAUGGCAAAGCAUUACGGUAGGAGUAAUAUCACUAAAAAAUGGCUAUGUCCAACGAGUUGAAAAUAGACAAAAUAUUAACAUUUGGAAAGAUGCAUGCAUCCCGAAGUAUGCACAUAGGAAAGUCAUUACUCCUAAAAGGGCGAACCUGUCAAAAGUAUAUGAUCUUAUUGAUCAGGUUACUAAGAGCAACUCCUGCAAAAAGGCUCGACCCGCAAAAUAA
RNAcentral lists this ribosomal RNA (411 nucleotides) under Triticum aestivum (bread wheat). Its description in RNAcentral is "partial small subunit ribosomal RNA". The record is from RNAcentral. Lineage: Eukaryota; Viridiplantae; Streptophyta; Magnoliopsida; Poales; Poaceae.